This is a non-coding RNA of Kogia breviceps (pygmy sperm whale), 252 nucleotides long. Lineage: Eukaryota; Metazoa; Chordata; Mammalia; Artiodactyla; Physeteridae. The record is from RefSeq and is a predicted model, not a curated record.
AUCUCCAGAGUUCAUCUUUCCCUCUUCACGGUGGCUGACGGUGUUUGAGAUGGGUGGCUACACGCUCAGUCUGAGUUAAAGAAUCACCUUGGCCAUUUACUAUGUGAUGGAUCUUCCUUCACCUGAGAAAAAUGGGAUUUGAUCAACUGUUCUAGGAAAACAUUAAAUACUACAGUACUAUGCAAUCCACUACUGGUUGAAUCCAUGAAUGCAGAACUAUGAUAUGGAGGAAAUGCAUAUGGAGAGCCUACU